Molecule: ribosomal RNA, 460 nt
Filed under: uncultured bacterium
Lineage: Bacteria
Description: partial 16S ribosomal RNA
Rfam family: Bacterial small subunit ribosomal RNA
Source: RNAcentral
CCUACGGGUGGCAGCAGUGAGGAAUAUUGGUCAAUGGACGCAAGUCUGAACCAGCCAUGCCGCGUGCAGGAAGACGGCUCUAUGAGUUGUAAACUGCUUUUGUACGAGGGUAAACGCAGAUACGCGUAUCUGUCUGAAAGUACCGUACGAAUAAGGAUCGGCUAACUCCGUGCCAGCAGCCGCGGUAAUACGGAGGAUUCAAGCGUUAUCCGGAUUUAUUGGGUUUAAAGGGUGCGUAGGCGGUCUGAUAAGUUAGAGGUGAAAUCCCGAGGCUUAACUUCGGAAUUGCCUCUGAUACUGUUCGUCUAGAGAGUAGAUGCGGUAGGCGGAAUGUAUGGUGUAGCGGUGAAAUGCUUAGAGAUCAUACAGAACACCGAUUGCGAAGGCAGCUUACCAAGCUACUUCUGACGUUGAGGCACGAAAGCGUGGGGAGCAAACAGGAUUAGAUACCCCAGUAGUC